This 180-nucleotide ribosomal RNA is filed under the name uncultured bacterium. Its description in RNAcentral is "partial 16S ribosomal RNA". It matches the Rfam family "Bacterial small subunit ribosomal RNA", at positions 1322 to 1500 of the family's 1533-position model. The record is from RNAcentral.
GAAGCCGGAAUUGCUAGUAAUGGCAGGUCAGCAUACUGCCGUGAAUACGUUCCCGGGCCUUGUACACACCGCCCGUCACACCAUGAGAGUUGGGAAUACCCGAAGCCUGUGAGCUAACAUUUAUGAGGCAGCAGUCGAAGGUAGAAUCAAUGAUUGGGGGUGAAGUCGUAACAAGGUAUC